Molecule: ribosomal RNA, 396 nt
Filed under: uncultured bacterium
Lineage: Bacteria
Description: bacterial SSU rRNA
Rfam family: Bacterial small subunit ribosomal RNA
Source: RNAcentral
AUUAAACGCUGGCGGCAUGCCUUACACAUGCAAGUCGAACGGCAGCACGGGGGCAACCCUGGUGGCGAGUGGCGGACGGGUGAGUAAAGCAUCGGAACGUAUCCUGGAGUGGGGGAUAACGUAGCGAAAGUUACGCUAAUACCGCAUAUUCUGUGAGCAGGAAAGCAGGGGAUCGCAAGACCUUGCGCUCUGGGAGCGGCCGAUGUCGGAUUAGCUAGUUGGUGGGGUAAAGGCCUACCAAGGCGACGAUCCGUAGCGGGUCUGAGAGGAUGAUCCGCCACACUGGGACUGAGACACGGCCCAGACUCCUACGGGAGGCAGCAGUGGGGAAUUUUGGACAAUGGGCGCAAGCCUGAUCCAGCCAUGCCGCGUGAGUGAAGAAGGCCUCGGUUGUAA